Molecule: ribosomal RNA, 251 nt
Filed under: uncultured bacterium
Lineage: Bacteria
Description: partial 16S ribosomal RNA
Rfam family: Bacterial small subunit ribosomal RNA
Source: RNAcentral
UACGGAGGGUGCGAGCGUUGUCCGGAAUCAUUGGGCGUAAAGGGCGCGUAGGUGGCGGGACAAGCGUGCGGUGAAGCCUGGGCUCAACCCGGGUCGGCCGUGCGAACUGUUUGCUUGAGCACUGUAGAGGCAGGCGGAAUUCCGGUGUAGCGGUGGAAUGCGUAGAGAUCCGGAAGAACACCGGUGGCGAAGGCGGCAUCCUGGACCGGUAUUGACGCUGAGUGAGCGAAAGCCAGGGAGCAAAGCGGGAU